UACGGGUGGUGCUAGUGUUAUUCCACGUGACUAGGUGUAAAGGGUGAGUAGAUUGAAAAAAAUAGUUUUAAAAUAAAACGAGAACUUUGUUUUUUUUUACUUUUUUUUUCUUGAGUUUAAUAGACAAUAAUGGAACUUCCUGCAUUAGGGUUAAAAUACAUUUAAACUGGAAGGAACACCAAGGGCAAAGGCAAUUAUUGAUAUUUAACUGACAUUGAGGCACGAAGGGAUGGGGAUCAAAUGGG
This 245-nucleotide ribosomal RNA is filed under the name uncultured bacterium. RNAcentral describes it as "partial 16S ribosomal RNA". It matches the Rfam family "Bacterial small subunit ribosomal RNA", at positions 524 to 776 of the family's 1533-position model. The record is from RNAcentral.